Small nucleolar RNA from Polypterus senegalus (gray bichir), 137 nucleotides. The record is from RefSeq and is a predicted model, not a curated record. Lineage: Eukaryota; Metazoa; Chordata; Cladistia; Polypteriformes; Polypteridae.
UUGCACUGUUCGUAACCUGAGAUCAGCUUUAAUAUCUGGUCUUGGGUUCCAUUCCAGUGCAACAUUAAUCUGUCAUCUUGAACGACUGGCAGUCAGCACUGUGUUGUCCUGCUUGUUCCACAGUUUGAUACACAAAU